UACAGAGGGUGCGAGCGUUAAUCGGAAUUACUGGGCGUAAAGGGCAUGUAGGCGGUUGUAUAAGUUAGCUGUGAAAUACUUGGGCUCAACCUGAGUGCUGCAGCUAAGACUGUAGAGCUAGAAUAGAGUAGAGGGUAGCGGAAUUCCCGGUGUAGCAGUAAAAUGCGUAGAUAUCGGGAGGAACACUCGUGGCGAAGGCGGCUACCUGGACUCAUAUUGACGCUGAGGUGCGAAAGCGUGGGGAGCAAACAGG
Molecule: ribosomal RNA, 253 nt
Filed under: uncultured bacterium
Lineage: Bacteria
Description: partial 16S ribosomal RNA
Rfam family: Bacterial small subunit ribosomal RNA
Source: RNAcentral